UCCGGGCGAAAUUUUUUUUAUUAAACACUUGCUAAAGAAUAAAUACAUUUUAAACAGUAGCUAAAGAGUAAAGACAUUUCUAAUUAGUGGCUAACUGUGUAUUUCUCCGCCAAAACGCCAAACUCACCUCGGCUAGUCUUCACCAAUAGCCUCUAAACAACUUAUAACAAAAUGGCAACAAUAUGGUUAACAUGUCAGAGACAAUAACCAGGGGACGAAAUGCAAUAGGGUAAUAGAAUUUCAACUUGUACAAAUUACAGUCUAGAGGCUUCACAGUACAUAUAUAUAUAUAUAUAUAUAUAUAUAUAUAUAUAUAUAUACUUAUAUAUAUAUAUAUCAAACCUGUUCAACUACACAAUGGAUAAACGUAAAAAAAAAUGCAUUCCAAAAAAAUUACAUGAUAGACAACAAGAAAGGCAACAUCCUUCUACACAUUACGAUUCCCAAUCUGUUUCAGCAUCACACAG
RNAcentral lists this long non-coding RNA (467 nucleotides) under Nicotiana tabacum (common tobacco). RNAcentral's name for it is "long non-coding RNA (NTAB_LNC001945)". The record is from RNAcentral. Lineage: Eukaryota; Viridiplantae; Streptophyta; Magnoliopsida; Solanales; Solanaceae.